This 478-nucleotide small RNA is filed under the name Arabidopsis thaliana (thale cress). RNAcentral describes it as "ATSL055310". Lineage: Eukaryota; Viridiplantae; Streptophyta; Magnoliopsida; Brassicales; Brassicaceae. The record is from RNAcentral.
AUUACGGCCUAUACAUCGCAUGUAGAAAACGAGUUUCUCGGUUAGAACUUAAAAUGGAUUUGGAAGUAGUGGUUGGUUUUCUGAAGAUAAGGGUUAGUGAAACUUAUCCGCUGUCUUUCCUGUUACGCUUGUGACAUGGCUUUAUAUCAAAGGAUUAGAAUAUCAAAAUUUCACAUAUUUACCGGGAGGAUAAUCGUUUUGCGGAUGAAUUAGCUAACCAUGCUUUUUCUUUAAAUUUAGUUUUUCACUUUUUAGAUACUAUUCCAAGAUGUUCUCUUUUGUCGGAUGAUGCCCGUUGUUUGGCAAUUCGAUGGCAUGUUGUUGCUUGUUAAGUUUUUGUAUGUUGCUAUGAAUAAAUUUGGGGAGGCAUUAUCUCCCCGUCCCCUACCAAUUUCUUUUUUUUUCUUCUAUCCCAUAUAUAUAUAUAUAUAUAUAUAAAUUUCGAAAACUCUUUGCUUUCAUUUUCUUAAAAAAUCAC